This 187-nucleotide ribosomal RNA is filed under the name uncultured rumen bacterium. RNAcentral's name for it is "partial 16S ribosomal RNA". It matches the Rfam family "Bacterial small subunit ribosomal RNA", at positions 340 to 524 of the family's 1533-position model. The record is from RNAcentral.
UACGGGAGGCAGCAGUGAGGAAUAUUGGUCAAUGGGCGGAAGCCUGAACCAGCCAUGCCGCGUGCAGGAAUAAGGCCCUACGGGUCGUAAACUGCUUUUGUACGGGAGCAAUAAGGGUCACGCGUGGCCCGAUGAGAGUACCGUACGAAUAAGCAUCGGCUAACUCCGUGCCAGCAGCCGCGGUAAU